RNAcentral lists this ribosomal RNA (497 nucleotides) under uncultured bacterium. RNAcentral's name for it is "partial 16S ribosomal RNA". It matches the Rfam family "Bacterial small subunit ribosomal RNA", at positions 28 to 507 of the family's 1533-position model. The record is from RNAcentral.
GAUGAACGCUGGCGGCGUGCCUAAUACAUGCAAGUCGAGCGAACGGACGAGAAGCUUGCUUCUCUGAUGUUAGCGGCGGACGGGUGAGUAACACGUGGAUAACCUACCUAUAAGACUGGGAUAACUUCGGGAAACCGGAGCUAAUACCGGAUAAUAUUUUGAACCGCAUGGUUCAAAAGUGAAAGACGGUCUUGCUGUCACUUAUAGAUGGAUCCGCGCUGCAUUAGCUAGUUGGUAAGGUAACGGCUUACCAAGGCAACGAUGCAUAGCCGACCUGAGAGGGUGAUCGGCCACACUGGAACUGAGACACGGUCCAGACUCCUACGGGAGGCAGCAGUAGGGAAUCUUCCGCAAUGGGCGAAAGCCUGACGGAGCAACGCCGCGUGAGUGAUGAAGGUCUUCGGAUCGUAAAACUCUGUUAUUAGGGAAGAACAUAUGUGUAAGUAACUGUGCACAUCUUGUCGGUACCUAAUCAGAAAGCCACGGCUAACUACGUG